Molecule: long non-coding RNA, 198 nt
Organism: Octopus sinensis (East Asian common octopus)
Lineage: Eukaryota; Metazoa; Mollusca; Cephalopoda; Octopoda; Octopodidae
Exons: 4
Source: RefSeq, a predicted model, not a curated record
CUUGACUGGACUUUAGUCUCAAUAUCAUAGUGAUGGACCCAUGUUUCAUCCUGUGUGAUAAGUCUGCCAAAAAAGUCCUCCUCAUUUUCUUGGCACAUUGCCAAAAGAGCCUGAAAGCAAGUGACUCAUUCCUGCUUCUGAAAAAGUGUGAGCAGCUGGAGAAUCCAUCGGAAGUGGGUCCUGUAGGGACAGAGUGUU